CCCUUAGAUGUUCUGGGCCGCACGCGCGCUACAAUGGGUGGUAGAACGUGUAACUGCUCCCGAAAGGGAGGGUGAACCACGAAUACUUACCCGUGAAUGGGAUAGUUUGUUGCAAUUUUCGGACUUGAACUAGGAAUCCCUUGUAAGAAUGCUCAAGAAUAGCGUGCUGAAUACGUCCCUGCCGUUUGUACACACCGCCCGUCGUUUCUUCCGACUGAUACUCAUUGUGAGUUGCAAGGAUUCUUAUUGAAAAAUUGCUGCGAAUGCUUUGUAUUGGAGGAAGAAAAAGUCGUAACA
Molecule: ribosomal RNA, 297 nt
Filed under: uncultured eukaryote
Lineage: Eukaryota
Description: partial 18S ribosomal RNA
Rfam family: Eukaryotic small subunit ribosomal RNA
Source: RNAcentral